AUGUUUGCUUCAGCUCCACUGCUGCUGCUGGCUCUCGCCCCCUAUGUGUUCUGUGCUACUGAGCUCAUCCAGCCAGACUCACUGCUUAUAAAGCCAGGAGAGACUUUAACCAUCACCUGUAAAGUGUCUGGAGCUUCUAUCACUGAUAGCAGCCACUAUGGAACAGCUUGGAUUCGACAACCUGCAGGAAAAGCUUUAGAAUGGAUCAACACCAUUAAUUACAGUGGGGGUAUUGAUAAGAAAGAUUCACUUAAAGACAAGUUUGUGGUCUCUCGAGACACUUCCAGUAACUCCGUGACCUUACGAGGACAGAACAUGCAGACUGAAGACACAGCUGUGUAUUACUGCGCUCGAAGACCACACACAUCAUGA
Tachysurus vachellii is the source of this 372-nucleotide non-coding RNA. Lineage: Eukaryota; Metazoa; Chordata; Actinopteri; Siluriformes; Bagridae. The record is from the annotation of a RefSeq genome assembly.